CCUACGGGUGGCAGCAGUGGGGGAUAUUGCACAAUGGGGGGAACCCUGAUGCAGCGACGCCGCGUGGGUGAAGGAGUGCUUCGGCAGGUAAAGCCCGAGCGGCAGGGAAGAAGCAAGACGGGACCGGACGAAGAAGCCCCGGCUAACUACGUGCCAGCAGCCGCGGUAAUACGGAGGGGGCGAGCGUUAUCCGGAUUCACUGGGUGGAAAGGGAGCGUAGACGGCCAUGCAAGCCUGAAGGGAAAGGCGGGGGCCCAACCCCCGGACUGCUUUGGGAACUGUACGGCUGGCGUGCAGGAGAGUUAAGUGGACUUCCUCGUGUCGCGGUGACAUGCGUAGAUAUUAGGAUGCUCCCCCGUGGCGCAGGCGGCUUACUGGACUGUAACUGACGUUGCGGCUCGAACGCGUGGGGAGCAAACAGGAUUAGCUACCCCAGUAGUC
RNAcentral lists this ribosomal RNA (441 nucleotides) under uncultured bacterium. Its description in RNAcentral is "partial 16S ribosomal RNA". It matches the Rfam family "Bacterial small subunit ribosomal RNA", at positions 338 to 795 of the family's 1533-position model. The record is from RNAcentral.